AUUGAACGCUGGCGGCAGGCCUAACACAUGCAAGUCGAGCGGAUGAAGGGAGCUUGCUCCUGGAUUCAGCGGCGGACGGGUGAGUAAUGCCUAGGAAUCUGCCUGGUAGUGGGGGAUAACGUCCGGAAACGGGCGCUAAUACCGCAUACGUCCUGAGGGAGAAAGUGGGGGAUCUUCGGACCUCACGCUAUCAGAUGAGCCUAGGUCGGAUUAGCUAGUUGGUGGGGUAAGGGCCUACCAAGGCGACGAUCCGUAGCUGGUCUGAGAGGAUGAUCAGUCACACUGGAACUGAGACACGGUCCAGACUCCUACGGGAGGCAGCAGUGGGGAAUAUUGGACAAUGGGCGAAAGCCUGAUCCAGCCAUGCCGCGUGUGUGAAGAAGGUCUUCGGAUUGUAAAGCACUUUAAGUUGGGAGGAAGGGCAGUAAGUUAAUACCUUGCUGCUUUGACGUUACCAACAGAAUAAGCACCGGCUAACUUCGUG
This 484-nucleotide ribosomal RNA is filed under the name uncultured bacterium. RNAcentral describes it as "partial 16S ribosomal RNA". It matches the Rfam family "Bacterial small subunit ribosomal RNA", at positions 30 to 507 of the family's 1533-position model. The record is from RNAcentral.